GCUUUUGGUGGCUCAGUUGGCUGAGCAUUGUGCUAACAAUGCAAAGGUUGUGGGUUCAAAUCCCAGGGAAAGUG
RNAcentral lists this transfer RNA (74 nucleotides) under Danionella cerebrum. Its description in RNAcentral is "tRNA-Val". The stretch from base 9 to 66 matches the Rfam family "tRNA", at positions 8 to 63 of the family's 71-position model. From Rfam's summary of the family: Transfer RNA (tRNA) molecules are approximately 80 nucleotides in length. Their secondary structure includes four short double-helical elements and three loops (D, anti-codon, and T loops). Lineage: Eukaryota; Metazoa; Chordata; Actinopteri; Cypriniformes; Danionidae. The record is from RNAcentral.